UGCGCAGGCGGUUUCGUAAGCCAGACGUGAAAUCCCCGGGCUUAACCUGGGAACUGCGUUUGGGACUGCGAGGCUGGAGUACGGCAGAGGGAGGUGGAAGUUCCAAGUGUAGCAGUGAAAUGCGUAGAUAUUUGGAGGAACACCGAUGGCGAAGGCAGCCUCCUGGGCUAGUACUGACGCUCAUGGCACGAAAGCGUGGGGGAGCAAACAGGAUUACGAUACCCUGGUAGUCCCACGCCCUAAACGAUGGCAACUAGUUGUUGGGGAUUUAACGAUCCUUAGUAACGCAGCUAACGCGUGAAGUUGCCCGCCUGGGGAUACGGUCGCAAGAUUAAA
This 336-nucleotide ribosomal RNA is filed under the name uncultured bacterium. RNAcentral's name for it is "bacterial SSU rRNA". It matches the Rfam family "Bacterial small subunit ribosomal RNA", at positions 568 to 898 of the family's 1533-position model. The record is from RNAcentral.